UACGGGGGGAGCAAGCGUUGUUCGGAAUUACUGGGCGUAAAGGGCUCGUAGGUGGCCAACUAAGUCAGACGUGAAAUCCCUCGGCUUAACCGGGGAACUGCGUCUGAUACUGGAUGGCUUGAGUUUGGGAGAGGGAUGCGGAAUUCCAGGUGUAGCGGUGAAAUGCGUAGAUAUCUGGAGGAACACCGGUGGCGAAGGCGGCAUCCUGGACCAACACUGACACUGAGGAGCGAAAGCCAGGGGAGCAAACGGG
Molecule: ribosomal RNA, 253 nt
Filed under: uncultured bacterium
Lineage: Bacteria
Description: partial 16S ribosomal RNA
Rfam family: Bacterial small subunit ribosomal RNA
Source: RNAcentral